UUGAACGCUGGCGGCAUGCUUUACACAUGCAAGUCGAACGGCAGCGCGGGGCAACCUGGCGGCGAGUGGCGAACGGGUGAGUAAUAUAUCGGAACGUACCCAGAAGUGGGGGAUAACGUAGCGAAAGUUACGCUAAUACCGCAUACGGUCUACGGAUGAAAGUGGGGGACCUUCGGGCCUCAUGCUUUUGGAGCGGCCGAUAUCUGAUUAGCUAGUUGGUGAGGUAAAGGCUCACCAAGGCGACGAUCAGUAGCUGGUCUGAGAGGACGACCAGCCACACUGGAACUGAGACACGGUCCAGACUCCUACGGGAGGCAGCAGUGGGGAAUUUUGGACAAUGGGCGCAAGCCUGAUCCAGCAAUGCCGCGUGAGUGAAGAAGGCCUUCGGGUUGUAAAGCUCUUUUGUCAGGGAAGAAACGGCUGAGGUUAAUACCUUCGGCUAAUGACGGUACCUGAAGAAUAAGCACCGGCUAACUACGU
This 480-nucleotide ribosomal RNA is filed under the name uncultured bacterium. Its description in RNAcentral is "bacterial SSU rRNA". It matches the Rfam family "Bacterial small subunit ribosomal RNA", at positions 30 to 506 of the family's 1533-position model. The record is from RNAcentral.